CCCCCACAUUGGAACUGAGACACGGUCCAAACUCCUACGGGAGGCAGCAGUGAGGAAUAUUGGUCAAUGGACGAGAGUCUGAACCAGCCAAGUAGCGUGAAGGAUGACUGCCCUAUGGGUUGUAAACUUCUUUUAUAUGGGAAUAAAACGUUCCACGUGUGGGAUUUUGUAUGUACCAUAUGAAUAAGGAUCGGCUAACUCCGUGCCAGCAGCCGCGGUAAUACGGAGGAUCCGAGCGUUAUCCGGAUUUAUUGGGUUUAAAGGGAGCGUAGGUGGAUUGUUAAGUCAGUUGUGAAAGUUUGCGGCUCAACCGUAAAAUUGCAGUUGAAACUGGCAGUCUUGAGUACAGUAGAGGUGGGCGGAAUUCGUGGUGUAGCGGUGAAAUGCUUAGAUAUCACGAAGAACUCCGAUUGCGAAGGCAGCUCACUGGACUGCAACUGACACUGAGGCUCGAAAGUGUGGG
RNAcentral lists this ribosomal RNA (463 nucleotides) under uncultured bacterium. RNAcentral's name for it is "bacterial SSU rRNA". It matches the Rfam family "Bacterial small subunit ribosomal RNA", at positions 305 to 765 of the family's 1533-position model. The record is from RNAcentral.